GGCCAAUUGUAGCUCUUCCUCCGUUUCGACUCGAAUCGGCGCGCCGGCCAUUGCUCCCGCAUCGGUGAAAGAGAAAGAAGGAUCUCCUUGAAAUAGGAAUGGUAGGUUUGGGCGAUCCUGCUGUCGUAGAGGUCACACACCCGCUCCCCCCGCCCGCACCUCCCACCACCGCCGCCGGAGGAGAAGAGGAGGGACGGGCCGAAGCCACAGCCUCUUUGAGUUGAACCAGCGCACUCUCUCCCAGUGGUUCUCCCGGAGGCAGAAGGCGUGGGAGAGAGCUGUGCUUCAGCAGGACGUGGUGGGUACCCGCAUCCCUGACAGCGUGAGGAGAAGUACAUCUGCCUAAAGUGCGGACAGCCGAAACAGCGGCAAUUUGGCCAUAGCCGUU
Long non-coding RNA from Conger conger (European conger), 388 nucleotides. RefSeq lists it as uncharacterized. The record is from RefSeq and is a predicted model, not a curated record. Lineage: Eukaryota; Metazoa; Chordata; Actinopteri; Anguilliformes; Congridae. The transcript is spliced from 4 exons.